Non-coding RNA from Arachis ipaensis, 422 nucleotides. Lineage: Eukaryota; Viridiplantae; Streptophyta; Magnoliopsida; Fabales; Fabaceae. The record is from RefSeq and is a predicted model, not a curated record.
CCUGCAAAAGAACAAGAACAACAACCCCAAGAACCAACGGUGCAAGAAGAAUCAGAACAAGAAGCACCUGUUAAUGUACCUCUGGAACAGCCCUGUGAAGAACCAACAGAGCAACAAUCCAAAUAAGAAGCACAUGUUGAUGUCUACCCUCCAGAACCCAACAAGCAGGGUGUUACGGGGUCUAUUACAAGCUCUGUUAUUGAACAAUUUUUCAAGGAUGCCGAUGUCUAUCCAGUUUCUGAUGAAGAACAAUCCAAAGAACCACCGGUGGCACGAUAAUCAUAAAAAGAAACUCUAAUCUUGUCAUCAUUUGACAGUGCUGCUCAACCGAGGGAAAGGGAAGAUGAAAGGCCUUCCUUUAGCCUUGGGAUAAGUCCACCAGCAUCUCAACCAACUCAGCCCUCUCAAGAGAGUGAUUCACA